UGAGGAAUAUUGGUCAAUGGGAGCGAUCCUGAACCAGCCAAGCCGCGUGAGGGAAGACGGCCCUACGGGUUGUAAACCUCUUUUGUCGGAGAACAAAACCGCGUACGCGUACGUGGCUGAGUGUAUCCGAAGAAAAAGCAUCGGCUAACCUCCGUGCCAGCAGCCGCGGUAAUAGCGGAGGAUGCGAUGCCGGUUAUUCCGGAUUUGAUUUGGGUUUAAAGGGUGCGUAGGCGGGCUGUUAAGUCAGCGGUAAAAUAUCGGGGCUCAACCCCGUUUAGCCGUUGAAACUGGCGGUCUUGAGACGGUGAGAGGUACGCGGAAUGCGCGGUGUAGCGGUGAAAUGCAUAGAUAUCGCGCAGAACUCCGAUUGCGAAGGCAGCGUACCGGUGCCGAUCUGACGCUGAGGCACGAAAGCGUGGGGAUCGAACAGGAUUAGAUACC
RNAcentral lists this ribosomal RNA (441 nucleotides) under uncultured bacterium. RNAcentral describes it as "bacterial SSU rRNA". It matches the Rfam family "Bacterial small subunit ribosomal RNA", at positions 355 to 786 of the family's 1533-position model. The record is from RNAcentral.